GACGAACGCUGGCGGCGUGCUUAACACAUGCAAGUCGAACGAUGAAGCUGGAGCUUGCUCCGGUGGAUUAGUGGCGAACGGGUGAGUAACACGUGAGCAAUCUGCCCUUGACUCUGGGAUAACUGCGGGAAACUGUAGCUAAUACCGGAUAUGAGGCUUGGAGGCAUCUCCAGGUCUGGAAAGAAUUUCGGUCAAGGAUGAUCUCGCGGCCUAUCAGCUAGUUGGUGAGGUAAUGGCUCACCAAGGCGACGACGGGUAGCCGGCCUGAGAGGGUGACCGGCCACACUGGGACUGAGACACGGCCCAGACUCCUACGGGAGGCAGCAGUGGGGAAUAUUGCACGAUGGGCGAAAGCCUGAUGCAGCAACGCCGCGUGAGGGAUGAAGGCCUUCGGGUUGUAAACCUCUUUUAGCAGGGAAGAAGCGAAAGUGACGGUACCUGCAGAAAAAGCACCGGCUAACUACGUGCCAGCCGCCGCCGUAA
Molecule: ribosomal RNA, 483 nt
Filed under: uncultured bacterium
Lineage: Bacteria
Description: partial 16S ribosomal RNA
Rfam family: Bacterial small subunit ribosomal RNA
Source: RNAcentral